RNAcentral lists this ribosomal RNA (270 nucleotides) under uncultured archaeon. RNAcentral describes it as "partial 16S ribosomal RNA". It matches the Rfam family "Archaeal small subunit ribosomal RNA", at positions 477 to 747 of the family's 1478-position model. The record is from RNAcentral.
CAGCACCUCAAGUGGUAAGGAUGAUUAUUGGGCCUAAAGCAUCCGUAGCCGGCGCUGUAAGUUUUCGGUUAAAUCUGUACGCUCAACGUACAGGCUGCCGGGAAUACUGCAGCGCUAGGGAGUGGGAGAGGUAGACGGUACUCGGUAGGAAGGGGUAACAUCCUUUGAUCUAUUGAUGACCACCUGUGGCGAAGGCGGUCUACCAGAACACGUCCGACGGUGAGGGAUGAAAGCUGGGGGAGCAAACCGGAUUAGAUACCCGAGUAGUCC